RNAcentral lists this long non-coding RNA (8055 nucleotides) under Equus caballus (horse). RNAcentral describes it as "lncRNA (ENSECAG00000050139.1)". Lineage: Eukaryota; Metazoa; Chordata; Mammalia; Perissodactyla; Equidae. The record is from RNAcentral.
CAAAACUUCUCCAGAAUAACUUCAAUCUAAAACAUAUCAAGUUUAAAACAAAAUUAUUAUGGCAGUGCCAUUUUGAAUAAAAUUAGUUUUAAUCUAUUGGCUAAAAAAAUGUGUGAAAGAGCCAACAGUCUCUAGUUCGUAGCUUUGUCCAUUCCACUUCUCCGCACUCCUUUCAACGGUGACCUCAUCACGUUCUGUGCAGCCAACAGGAGAUGGCAGCAUUGCUUCAGCCAUUGGAAAGACCCUGCGCCCGAUCCCUUCUUCAAAGAGAAGGCUGGGAGCUGGUGGGGAGCAGAGUUACAGCAGCAGAAAAUGUAACCAGCUAUUUGAAGAGUACCUGGAAAAUCAACAUUUAAUGGAUUUAUGAAAAAAGAGGAGAAAAUGAAGAUCUAAAUAGGCAAGUUUUCUUGCUACCUAUGUUCGGUCUUUACCCUGGUUAAAAAGGAAAAGAUUCAAUAGAUUAUGUUAAAUUGGAGAGUUGCGUUCCAGCCUUUCCUUUGGUUUUAAAAUUCUGUAUUCUUAGAAAUCUUGUUCAGGAGCUAUUUCCCAAAACCCUACCUUUAAAAUAUGGAUUUCUAUUGCUCAUUUUCAUUAACCUUUGAGCUUUAAUUUUCUCAUGCAUGCAUAUGAUAUGCUUGGGCAAUGGUUACUUUUUUAUUUUUUAUUUUUCUAUUUUGAGAAAGCAACCCCUCCAUAAUGGCAUAAGUUUGACUUGUGUGUACUAACCAGAACAUUUUAUUAAUAUGCUAACUCUUUUUCCAUUAAAAUCCUAAGUUAAUGAAUACAUAAAUACAACUAUUAUGGGUUCCCCAGAGACCCAAAGGUGAACGUGAAAUGUAGUCUACCAAUUGGCAGCUUAUAUCACUGCCUGGGUUACUGUAUCAGAAAUAAUGAAAACCAUAGAUGUUUAAUCAUAAUGCAGUCAGAGGUUUACGCUGGCCUCCUAAACAGAAGGAAGGAAGAUCUGAUUUUAAAUGCUGUUUCACCUUUCUUUUUCAAUAUGCUGGAUCUCCUCACUAAAUUGUGAACAAAGACGCUGGUAUUAAUUUUCAUCCCUUUUGACAUACUAAGGACUUUAAAGUGGGAUUUGACAGAGAGUUUUGGUGUGUUUGUAGGGCCAACCGCCGGGCAUCAGAUUGGUUAGUAAAGGUUGUUAUGGUGUGCGUACCAAUCCAUUUGGAAAGCAUUAACUCAGAGAGGGGAAUGCAAUGGCUUAAAUAUAUAUAUGUAUAUAUAGUGUUGUUCAGCCCACACCCACGGAGGGUAUGAAUCCUAGCUCUGCCAGUUAGUGAUUGUGAGACCCUAGAGAAGUCAUUUAGCUUAUAUAAAUUACAAUUCUUUUUCUCUAAAAUAGGAAUACUAAUACUGUCUUAGAGGUUUUUUUGUGGAGAUUAACUGAGAUAAUAUGUCUAAAGUGCUCAGCCCAGUGUCCAGAACAUAAAUCGUAGUGGUUAUUAUGAUCAUGAUGCAGAAUUAUCACAGUAGAUUUAAAUAUGUAUAAAUAUAUAAAAUACAGAUUACUUUUUCUUUGCAAAGCUCGAACCUUUAUAAAGAUAGUUUUAAGAUCUGUUAAAAACUCGGAUAUCCUCCAAGGAAUAGCUUAUAACUUUUAGUUACAUGGUGCUUGAGACAGUAUAUUUGUGUAACCUUCUCAGAAAAGUUUUAUAAAUGGCUUUCAUAGGCCAUAGACUUUAUUAGGGUCCCAGUCCUGAGGGUUUCAUAGAAGCUGUUCUAAAGAUUCUUUAGAAAGAUUGUAGGAAACUGUUCUGCCCAAUGGGAGUUUACGUCUGUUCAGACGCCUGCUCUUGGCUUCAGCUCUCGACUGUGGCUUUGUGCCUCCACAGACAGCAUGCACGUUAACAGCAUUGGCUGUAGACGUUUAGAGUCGUUACUCUGAACAGCAUUUCCCAAACAGGACAUUCAGUUUUGCACACCACUUACAUACUGGAAGUUUAACACAAUGUGUUACUUUUUGUUUCUGUAGAAAUUUUUGUCAUCUAAGGAAAUAAAUGAGUUUAAAUAUUUCCAAAACUAGGCCUUCUGCCUAGAAAACUCUUUCAGAUUUGAUCUUUUGUAUUUUCUUUCAACUACACUUUAGGUUUGUGAACAGAGGUCAGAUUAUCUUGUCCCUCAUCCUGCAUUCUUCUCCGCCAGUCCCUGCUCACCCCCUCCAGCCCCUCAUUUGCACUGUCUGUACCAGCUUAUAGAUUGCAUACCUGAUUAAGAACUUCUUGAAGGUAGGGAACAUUCUCUUUAUAUGCUUUCUCCAAUGCCUAAUAGGAUGUUUUGUUCAAAAGGUGCUUAAAAAAAUGAGGACAUGAAUAUAACUGUGGUCGUGUUGUGUAUAUUCGGAUGCAGGCACUGUCAACUAUGAUGAGGCUAAAGUGGAGGCUUUUUAUUCUCGAAGGAUGACAGUUGAAUACUAUGACAGGGAUCACGUAUGCUACACAUUGAACAAAAACAGUCUUUUUCCCAUUAUAAUUUAGGCUAAUCUAUGAAAGAAUUAAAUAAUACAGAAAGCUAGUUUACUUCAGUAUGUUGAUAACAAGUUACUACAAGGGGUGAAAUAGGCUGAAAAGAGUAAGCUUGGAUAAAUGUAGAGGCAAGAUGUAGAAUGGAUAGUCAAGGGAAGCUGCAUGUUUUGAGUAAAUCUCUGAACUUUGAAGCUAAUGUGAGUAGCUGCCGUCUUGGCGUCUUUGCCUUGAUUGAGCCAUUCUAUUGGACUGGCAGGGCCCUGAUCUUGACAGUAGGGCAGUUCUCAUGCUCACAGAGAGUGUAAUGUAUCAGUUUUAAUUUUGUAAUUAUUUUAUCUUUGUUCCCAGCACCCUUCAUCAUCCUCACCUAGCAAAACCCCAACCUGGUUAGUACAAUACUUCUCCUGGUCCAUUCCUGCAUGCACACAGCUGAGUACCAUUGCAGAAAAGCAUGCAACCAGACCAACUGGCUUCAUGUUGACUAUAUAGGAUGCAGGUAGGAGGUUAGAAGUCGUGGUGGCCAAUUGAUGUUCCUUUCUGAUUGUGUCUACUUUCUUUCAGUGAGAUAAGGAAAUGAGGUCACCAACCAGGAUCAGGAUGAGGAAGGAGGUGAUGGAGAUUUGAGGUGAGAGGAGACAUCCAGGAGAGUGACGGAGUGAAUGGGCAAAGCAUGUGAUGCCAUCUCCCCUUCAGCUGUUGUCCACAUUUCUCAAUUCCCAUUUACAGCAAAACUCCCCCAAAGAGUGAUUAUACUCCCUGCCUUCAGUUCUACUUCCUGCUCAUCUUGAAACCACUCUAAUCAAGUAUUCACUCAAAAUGCCUCUGAAACUAUUGUCAAGGUCACUGGUGAAUUACAUGUUAUUAAAUUUAACAGUCAAUUUUCAGUCCUUAACUUUCUCGACUUAUCAGUGGCAUUUGAUAGUGGAUUGCUCCCUUCCCUGUGAAAAAAUUUCUUUGCUUGUCUUCUGUUUUGCGGCUGCUUGCCUACUUCCUCCUUCUCUGUCUACGGUACCAAUUCUUCAUCCUCUCUCUGACUUAAAUAUUGGAGAACUCAGGUUUCAUUCCCUGGAGCUUGUCUCUAACCACACUCGCUCUGUUGGUGGUCUCAUCCACAUAUAUGUGGAAGGCUUCCAAAUUUAUAUCUCCAUCACAGACCUUUCCCCUGAACUCCAAGUGCAUAGACCCAACUGCUCACUUGACAUCUGCACUUGAAUGUCUAACAGGCUUCUCUAACCAAACUUCUAAUCUUUCCUCCAAAAAACUCACUCCACUCCUGAUUCCUCCCCAUUGCAGGAAAUGAUAACUCUACGCUCUUAGUUGCUCAGGCUAAAAAUUUGGGAGUCAUCCUUGCCUCUUCCCUUUCUCUUAUAUUACACAUUCAACUCUGUAAGCAAAUCCUGUUGUUUCUACCUUCAAGAUAGAGUCAAUGUCUGAUGGUCUCUUACCACCUUGUUGCUUCCAUUCUGGUCUAAGUUGCUGUCAUCUCCCACCUGGAUGGCUGCAGCAGCCCUGUAACCAGUGUCCCUGUGACGUCAGCAGUCUUUUCUCCCAAGCAGCAGCCACAGGGAGGUCAGGGAGGACUUCCUGAAGAAGUAAUUCUCGAACCAAGAUAGGGAAGAAGAGGAGGAGAAGCUGAAUACGCCAAGAGGAGAGAAGAUCCUUCCAGGCAAAGGGAAAUACACCUUCCUGUGGGUGGAAGCGUGGUGAGAGCAAGGGACUAAGGAAGGCCUCAUUCCCUUGUAUCGGACACCUCCCUGAUGGCUGACAUGAGGGCCACCAGGAACGCAGGCUCAGUUCAACACACUGAUGACCGUGAAGUUACUGUGUUAGUCUUUCUGGUCCCAAGUUCAGAAAUUCCAGGGAAAGACUUUGAUGAACCCUCUUGGGUCAGGGGACUAGUUGGAGGGGUGGAGCAGCAUGCCUGGGCCAGCUUGGGUCACUUCCUCACCCUGAGACAAAUCCCUGUGGCCAGAGAGGUGAGAUCUCUAAAAAGAUGGCAGCUACCUCCAAAUCCCCCUUCAAACGUGGAGAGGCACAUUUCCCCCGGAGAACAUGAGGAUGCUCCACUGACUAGACAAGGCACUAGAUGCCCACUGUAGUGACUGAGCAGGAGGGGCUUUUUGUGGUCCAAGAAUUAAGAGGUUGGAGACAUAGUGUUCGGAGAAGCAAGAUGACACCACGUUGGAACUUUGGGAAGAAAAAACCUUAGGAAAAACUUCCUGUAUCAGGAAGUGGCAAGUAAACUGUGAGUAGUGAUAUUUUAGUCAGUUUUAAGUUGAAUAAAUGCCCUGUGCGGUUCCCAGGGAAAGCUGUUGCCUGUGAAAGCUUUGUGUUAAUGGGGCCUGAUCCAAUUAACAAGACGGGCCGUGUCCUCUUCAAGGAGAAGAAGUUUAAUAGAAGAUAGAAACCUGCAGGAGCAGUUGUUCCAUGAUGGAUGGUGACUGCCAACUGAACUGGGAGUUAUAGUUUUUCAGAAAGAAAAAAAGAAGGAAGGUGAUAGGUGAGCAUCAGGAAAAUGCUAGCACCAUUUUCCUUUCCGAUCUCAGCAUCAUCUCGCACUGGUGCUCAGUCCUUCCUAUUUGUCUCUCUACAUCCAUUUUACACCAUCAUCCCAGUUUGUGGAGAGACUGACCUGAAUGAACUGUGUUCAUGAGCAUCCUUGUGUGCUACCCAUGAGAUGACCAGCAGCGUGGGGAGGAGGUGAGGCAGGGUGUUUAGUCCGGGGCUCCCUGUUGGUUCACCCUGGUCCUGUAGAACGACAGGGCAGCAUCUGCUCUCUCCAGGGGUAGUGACAGCUUUCUGCUAUUGUUGGUCCUGAGAUCCUCCUCCAUUCCUUACUUCUCCAAACUCUGCUCACUCUUUUUGUGAACAAUCCCCUUGUUAAACUCUAUUCAAUUUCCCAGUCUGAGUGCACAAUUUAUUUCCUGCUGGGACUCAGGCUGAUAUAAGGACGUGGGGUAUUCUAACUGAACAAUUUUAGGGAGCUAAAGAAGAUAGGGGUGAUUGCAGACUGUUUUGUGGAGUUUGUGUAGAGGCACAAAGACAAAUCUGAGGAGACUGAAGUUAUACCGCAAAACGCCCCACAGAGAACACGCACUCACUGAAACCAGAUGUCUGCAACAGUCAGAGAAGGAAGCAGCCUGAUGCCAAAUGGUCCACAUCCAGGUGAUCAUCACAAAGGUAGAAACAUGAAUUAGAAUACAUUUUGGAGAAGUUUGCAAACGGAUGAUGCCCUUUCUGCAUUAUUGAACUCUAGCCAGUCAAAGGUUCACAGAAAGGUGAUGAUAAUAAUGCACUUUUUCUCUAUUUCUUUGGCGUGUACACCCUCCAGCUUUAAUGUCUCCUUUGUUGUAACAUUUAUUUGGCAUGUCCUGUGAUCCUUGCAUGAUAUUGAUCUAUAAAAUUGGAUGAACAAACAGGCCACCAGUUCACCUGUAUCGAAAUAGCUCUAAAGGGGAAGACAUCUGGGUGGAUAGAUGAGACGGCACUUACGCAGCCAGAGGAACCCAAAAUAAACAGAAGGAAAAAAAAUAAACCUGAGAUGCCGCAGAAUUCGGGAAGCAAUUUAUAUACUAACUCUAUGACGGUGGAGGAACUUUCAGGAGAAAAAGUCUGACAUUAACCUACGAUGGAGACAGCAGGCUGCACUCAGUGAUCGGUAGGCACAGUUUUUGAAAUGAGUGUGCGUUGCACUUGCACUUGCAUUUGUGAGUGUGCACAAUGCUCAUAGAUAGAAGAGAAAGAGCAAGUUAUGGUUCCUUGUUAUGAUCUUAGCUUAGUGCAUCACCUGACAAAGGGCUUUGCAUAUUGAAAAUGUAAGCAUUAGUUGAACAAAUGAACAGAAAUGUCUGCUGAAAAAUGAGCACAAACCACCAGCAUGUUAAUAAAUGAACACUUUUGUUCUCAGUGUAAUGUUCUGCUUGUUUAACUGAUUGUUGUUUUGAUUGCAAUCUCUUCACUGACGAUAGUAUUGAUAAACCUAUCAAAGAGAUAUAUUGAGUGUCUGUUUACUGAAAGUAAAUUGCUGGGAUUUCAAACACCUUUUGGAUCUACUCCUAAAGGAGUUAUAAAACAUCUCUUAAUUUGUUAAUCAUUAAUAUUUGGCCCCUGUGACUUGUGUGUGUAAAUAUACACAGUAGAUGCUCAUUUUGUCAAGUUGUUUCUGACUCAGAUGCUGUGUUUCCUUGGCCACUUCUAACCUGAGCAAAAGUGUGGGUGACAGAGUAGUGAAAAUCCAGAGUCUCCAUCACGAGUCUCCAUCACAUGAACAAGUAGAAGAUGUGUCCCCACAUGGAGGCUUACUGCCAUCGUCUUUAUGUAUUUAUGAAUUUGCAUAGUAACGAAUGCCCUUUUAGGUUGAAUUAUUAGAAUUUUAUCAAUGCCUCGAUCGUUACUUCAAAAACUAAUUUUGUGCCAUCUGUGUUCAUUGGAUGAGAGGAAAAAGGAGAAAAUAUAUUUCAUAUGUCAGACUCCUACAUAAAUGUAGGUGCAGCUUUGACUUGAGAUGCAACACUGGGCUGCUAUGGAAUUUUUACAUGCUGUGUAAUAAAAGUCUGCAAUCUGAUACCUCACACAUCUCCAUUAACCUCCGACAUUGAAUUUGUUCGAUUCUGAUUGUUUUUUCAUUGAUACAAGUGUUUGGUGAGGAAUUAGGAGCUUUCCUUCACAAAUGUUUUGUUUGAUUUACAGCAUUUUGGGCUGUGAUAUUCCUGGUUAGAAUACUUUACUGUUGAAUUCUUUAAAAAAAAAAAUCAGUGGAACUCCCAGAGGAUAAUGUGCAUCAGUUCUAUGUUAAAUUCUUUGUUCAGACUUAUUAUUUCAGCCUCCAAAAUGUGUUUUCACUAACAUAAUAGCGUGAUAAAUGCAAAAAGUGUGUGCGCAGCUUUAAACAUUUGGAAAUGCUUCUAAAGGUCGCUUUUCUACUGGGCAGCUUACUUUUUCUAUAAAGCUGUUUCUGUUCCAUACCCUACUGUCCCAAGGUUUCCAAAAGUUGAACAUGAACUCUGGAGGAAUUCUCCUUUGGACUUAAAAACUGGAGUUGCCUGGCAGACAGUUUUUAUUCUUGUCUGACUGAGUUCCCCAGCUUUCUCCCUUCUUGUGUCCUUGGACAUCAGUUUCACUUGUUUUCCUUUGAAUGGGUCAGAGUGGUUUCUCAACUUACAGUACAUAAACCUCCCAGCUAAGUGUCAUGUUCGUCCUGGACUGUCCAUGCUGCUCCACUCUCCUGUUUAACCUUCCUCAUCACCUCCUCUCCUCCAGCACUUAGUAGACAUGAACCAUCAAAAUUCAAUGCCACCACCAAAACAGCCUACAUCACGAAGACAGUCUACCCCUUUACACCCGUAUCUGCUCUUCCCGAGCUGGCAGCCAGUAGCCACAUGUGGCUGUUCAGCACCUGCCGUGGAGCUAGUCCAAAUUGAGAUGGGCUGUAAGUGUGAAGCAUGUACCAGAUUUCCAAGACUUAGUGCAAAUAAAAAGGAUGUAAACAUCUUAUUAAUAAUUUUUACAUUGAUUACAUGUUGAAAUGGUGAUAUUUUAAGCUUGUUGGUUUAAAUAUAAUGUUUCAUUAAGAAAUUAAAAU